Antechinus flavipes (yellow-footed antechinus) is the source of this 102-nucleotide small nuclear RNA. The record is from RefSeq and is a predicted model, not a curated record. Lineage: Eukaryota; Metazoa; Chordata; Mammalia; Dasyuromorphia; Dasyuridae.
UAUUUACUUUGAAAGCAUUAUGGUAAAAUUUAAAUAGUACAAAGAUUAGUAUAACCCCUGUGCAAGAAUGUCAUACAUGUUCAUAAAGCAUUUCCUUUUUUA